This 200-nucleotide unclassified non-coding RNA is filed under the name Sebacina sp. RNAcentral describes it as "partial internal transcribed spacer 2". Lineage: Eukaryota; Fungi; Basidiomycota; Agaricomycetes; Sebacinales; Sebacinaceae. The record is from RNAcentral.
UUAAGUUCAGCGGGUAGUCCUACUCGAUUUGAGGUCAAGUUGUCAGAGAGUGUCCUAAGACAGUUAGAAGCCCAGAGCUCCCAAUCGGCCACCCUCUUUCGAGGCGCCGGCGAAGACACUUAUCACGCCGUACUAUGUCCAACCAGGAGGUGCACUACUGCAUUUCAGGUGAGCCACCGUGAAGCAGCAACACCCAAGUC